RNAcentral lists this ribosomal RNA (252 nucleotides) under uncultured bacterium. RNAcentral describes it as "partial 16S ribosomal RNA". It matches the Rfam family "Bacterial small subunit ribosomal RNA", at positions 525 to 776 of the family's 1533-position model. The record is from RNAcentral.
ACGAAGGGGGCUAGCGUUGUUCGGAAUCACUGGGCGUAAAGCGUAUGUAGGCGGAUCAAAAAGUUAGAUGUGAAAUCCCUGGGCUCAACCCAGGAACUGCAUUUAAAACUAGUGAUCUAGAAUUUGGUAGGGGCCAGUAGAAUUUCCAGUGUAGAGGUGAAAUUCGUAGAUAUUGGAAAGAAUACCAGUGGCGAAGGCGACUGGCUGGGCCAUUUUUGACGCUGAGAUACGAAAGCGUGGGUAGCAAACAGG